This 479-nucleotide ribosomal RNA is filed under the name uncultured bacterium. RNAcentral describes it as "partial 16S ribosomal RNA". It matches the Rfam family "Bacterial small subunit ribosomal RNA", at positions 28 to 507 of the family's 1533-position model. The record is from RNAcentral.
GAUGAACGCUGGCGGCGUGCUUAACACAUGCGAGUCGAACGAAGCACUUUAACCUGAUUCUUCGGAUGAAGGUUUUUGUGACUGAGUGGCGGACGGGUGAGUAACGCGUGGGUAACCUGCCUCAUACAGGGGGAUAACAGUUAGAAAUGACUGCUAAUACCGCAUAAGACCACAGAGCCGCAUGGCUCGGUGGGAAAAACUCCGGUGGUAUGAGAUGGACCCGCGUCUGAUUAGGUAGUUGGUGGGGUAACGGCCUACCAAGCCAACGAUCAGUAGCCGACCUGAGAGGGUGACCGGCCACAUUGGGACUGAGACACGGCCCAAACUCCUACGGGAGGCAGCAGUGGGGAAUAUUGCACAAUGGGGGAAACCCUGAUGCAGCGACGCCGCGUGAGCGAAGAAGUAUUUCGGGAUGUAAAGCUCUAUCAGCAGGGAAGAAAAUGACGGUACCUGACGAAGAAGCACCGGCUAAAUACGUG